CCAGACUCCUACGGGAGGCAGCAGUGGGGAAUAUUGCACAAUGGGGGGAACCCUGAUGCAGCGACGCCGCGUGGGCGAGGAAGUAUUUCGGUAUGUAAAGCCCUAUCGGCAGGGAAGAAGAAAUGACGGUACCUGAAUAAGAAGCACCGGCUAAAUACGUGCCAGCAGCCGCGGUAAUACGUAGGGGGCAAGCGUUAUCCGGAUUUACUGGGUGUAAAGGGAGCGUAGACGGCGGCGCAAGCCAGAUGUGAAAGCCCGGGGCUCAACCCCGGGACUGCUCUUGGAACUGCGCGGCUGGAGUGCAGGAGGGGCAGGCGGAAUUCCUGGUGUAGCGGUGAAAUGCGUAGAUAUCAGGAGGAACACCGGUGGCGAAGGCGGCCUGCUGGACUGCGACUGACGUUGAGGCCCGAAAGCGUGGGGAGCAAACAGGAUUAGAUACCCCCGUA
RNAcentral lists this ribosomal RNA (446 nucleotides) under uncultured bacterium. RNAcentral's name for it is "partial 16S ribosomal RNA". It matches the Rfam family "Bacterial small subunit ribosomal RNA", at positions 331 to 792 of the family's 1533-position model. The record is from RNAcentral.